Drosophila montana is the source of this 1526-nucleotide long non-coding RNA. RefSeq lists it as uncharacterized. The transcript is spliced from 3 exons. NCBI's taxonomy places the organism in Eukaryota, Metazoa, Arthropoda, Insecta, Diptera, Drosophilidae. The record is from RefSeq and is a predicted model, not a curated record.
AUUGGGAAACUGCAACUUAUUUUAGUUGUGAAUUUGCAGCUAUUGAUCACCUCACUAAAGCCUCUCCUCAGAGUCGUCCGACGCGCGCGCUUCAAGUUCAUUGCCAAGUGAUAAGCGCGAAUGGGGUGAUUAACUCGAAUUCGUUUUGUAUACUGAUAGCACAUCUCCAGACAAAUUUUGUAUAUACACAUACAUACAUUUAUUUAUUUACAUACAUACCUAUGCAUGUAUGUAUGUAAGCGUACUUGUGUCCGGACAUUUUCUGGUCGCGUGCAUAAACGUUCCGUUAGCUGAAUCAGUAUGUAUGUACAUACAUACAUACAUACAUUUUAAUGUUUGUGCGAGCGUAGAUUGGAAAUUUUCCAAUCAAUUUUGCUUUUGUUUUGUUAAUGCAGAAAUCAUAGAAAUCAACCAUCUAAUUAAUUAGCAUGCGAAACCCUACCAAGUACAUUUGCACAUGAAACAUUAAGAAUGAAGUCUAAUGAAGGCGCAAUAACUAGUCUGGGCCUGGAGACUGCAGGCUUUAGUGAAUAUUUUGGAACUCAUUUUCCCCACACAUGUAUGUACGUAAAUAUCUGUGUGAGUGUAUGUGUGUAUGCAUGGACACAUCCAUAUGCUUGUUGUAUGGAUGUAUGCACGCGGAAUACAUACCUAAAAAUCAGGCGAUUCCUCGACAGCUGUUUUCUGAGGCUAUAGCAACAGCUUUCCCGGGCUAUGCGAAUGACAAGAGUAAGCGGUUUUGUGUUGGAUAUUUUUGUUAUAAAUCAGCCGUUGAGAUCAAAGCCAGGAGAGUAAUUGUUUUGAUUAAAUUUGUUCACUUCAAGCACAUUUCUUAACAACAGCGUAUUUUGUUUUUUAUUUAUUCUUCAAGCUUAAUAUUUUAUACACUUUGAUUGAUGCAAUUGAUGCAAAACACUUGUAACGGCGAAAUCGGCUUAUGGUUAAAACCUCCGUAAACUCUUGCGCGACCUAACGACGAAAUGUGAAUUACAAAUAGUCGCGGCAUCAGGUGAGCAGUGGCUUUUAUACGACGGCAGGGCUUGUGUUGGUGCCGAAAAAGCUUGUCUUUUGUGCGCAGUGAGAGCAAGAGAGGCGGCUGCGUCUGUCUGUUAUGCUAUUGGACUGUUGUUGAUGCGGGCUCUGCAAAAACGAUGCCCUUCAUACAAUUUUAUACAGCGUAAUUUAACUUUUUUUUUAAUUAUUGCGAGCUUUGGAUGUGUUAUACUUGAAAUUGGGCAGACAUCAGAAUCGCACCACUUUUUUUUUGGUUUUAAUUCAAAUUCAUGCGUACAUACAUGUACAUAUAUACAAAUAUAAGUACAUAUAAAUUUAUGCAUGUUUUCUUGAGCGCUUUCUAUUGAGCUAAACUCACUCAUAGACUGAUUUUUAUGAAUUAUUGCUUAUGUGUUGGUAUAUAUGUAUGCAUAUAUACUCGUAUGUAAAAAGGUGCACUGUUAAAAGGGCUUUUAUUAGUAAUGUUAUUAAAAUGCGCGCAGUUAUGUAAGUAUGUAUCAUAAUAUUAACUU